AUUGCCGAGUGAAAGGUGAAAACAAGCAAGAUGGCGGGUGUUUGCAGGCUGGCAAGGGUGACCAUGUCACCCUUGAUUAGACAAGCGGUUUCGAAUUUUAGGUGUGUCAGCACGACAGGAGUGACACACAAGCAGUUUGCUGAGUCUGCUGACUUUCAGGAUGAUGAAAGGAGGAGUUGGCUGAAGAACCUGCUUCGUGUCCGAACACUUCCCACUAGCUCCGAGUCUCACUCCAGUCAACUCUCAAGUAAAGAAACAGUCUAUGAGAUUCAGUUUCAUGCAGUGAAACCAGAAUCUAUGGAAGAUUAUUUAAAUCAGUUCCAAGAGUUUGAGGAGUUGUUGAAGAAGAAAGAUGCGGGUCAAAGUCUUGUAGGUAGCUUCACUGUGGAAAUUGGUGACCAGGAUGAAGCAAUUCACAUAUGGGCAUUCAAGGGAGGCUACCCUGUACUCAAUAGAGCAAAUCAGAUCUACAGAACAGACCAAGAUUUCAUAAAAUUUCGCAAGAAUCGCAACAAGAUGCUGCGAUCGAGGAGGAACCAGAUCCUGCUUGCUUUUAGUUUCUGGCCUGAGCUCAAACCCAGAGAAGGCAAAAGCAUUUACGAACUCAGGAGUUAUGUCCUUAAGCCGGGAACUAUGAUUGAGUGGGGCAAUAACUGGGCCCGAGGAAUCCAAGCCCGUCAAACUAACAAUGAACCAGUAGCAGGGUUCUUUUCACAGAUGGGAGAACUGUAUAACGCUCACCAUAUCUGGGGGCGAGAGGGAUAAAGUACCGACAAGCUAGUAACUCCCCUGUUGCCGGCUUCUUCUCCCAUCUUGGAGAGCAGUAUAAUGUACAUCACUUGUGGGGCUAUAAGGACCUGCAGACCCGCAAGGAGACGAGGGAGGCAGCAUGGAGUCGGCCCGGCUGGGAUGAAUGUGUGUCCUAUACAG
RNAcentral lists this unclassified non-coding RNA (930 nucleotides) under Haliotis rufescens (red abalone). Its description in RNAcentral is "protein NipSnap-like, transcript variant X1". The record is from RNAcentral. Lineage: Eukaryota; Metazoa; Mollusca; Gastropoda; Lepetellida; Haliotidae.